AUCUUUGUUCCCGAGCAAGGUUCCCAGCCGGCGGCUGCCGGCCCGGGAUCAAAAGGGAACUCCUGUGCAAAUCAGGGACUAUGCCCGUAGCUGUAAGCUCCGCAAAAGGCUGUACACUCUUUGCCACUGUUCCGGCAGGAACGGGAAGGCGUGCGGCGGGAGCGAGUCAGAAGACCUGCCUUGCCGGACAGGCCGUA
This 197-nucleotide non-coding RNA is filed under the name Alistipes sp. Lineage: Bacteria; Pseudomonadati; Bacteroidota; Bacteroidia; Bacteroidales; Rikenellaceae. The record is from RNAcentral.